Molecule: long non-coding RNA, 961 nt
Organism: Syngnathoides biaculeatus (alligator pipefish)
Lineage: Eukaryota; Metazoa; Chordata; Actinopteri; Syngnathiformes; Syngnathidae
Exons: 3
Source: RefSeq, a predicted model, not a curated record
UGUGUGUGUUUUUUUUUUUUGUUUUGUUUUGUUGUUUUUUUUAAACCCAGGUACAAACACGUUUUUGUAUAGCUUUUUGAAUGAGUGAACACAUUUGAACCAGGUCGGUAUCCAAUUGCCAGUAGUGGCGCACAAAAUGGCGGACAAGGGAGUGCUGGGACUGUAGUAAUGUCAUCGGGAAUCUGUUAUGAGUUUUCCCCAGAAUCAUCGGACCUUGCUGUAUGUCUUUUGGAUCCCGCCUAGCCUAGCGUUUCUGUACCACUGCCUUGUCGGACUGCCACACCGUGUAUGACCCAGUUUCUGGAAUAAACCACAUUAUACCUCUGCCUCGAAGUCCUGCAUUUGGGUCCGCCCCCGUACCAGAGCUGGAAUGGCAGAUGUGUCUUAAUGAUUCUCGGAGGAGCCAUUUUACUCAGGAGCUCAAGGCCUGACGAUGAAAUAAUUUACUGUAGCGUACGGGAGAGCUUUUCACCACGAGGUCACACAAACUGUGAAUCUCGACUGCUGCACUUUGACGGUGUGAGACAACAAGUUGCUACCGUGAGCGAGGAAAGGCCUCCUGGCCGUAAUUUACAUUUGAACAGGUAACUUGAUUUAAAACAAAAACAUAUGUGGUAGAAAUUCAGACACGGUUAACGUGAUCAUCGAGGGACAGGCUGACCAAACUGAAUUUUCUGUUCAUCAGCUUAAUGGUGCAGACGUGCUCGCUCUUGUGAGAAAUUCCUCUUUCCCACCUUGCUUCUGCGAGAAUUUCCCAGUCUGGUUUCUCCAGUAACGCGACAAGCGCCAGAGAGCAUGUGAGGCUGCCGCCGACAUUUAUUGAAAUGGACGAGGUAUUCGCGCAACAGAUUUCCUUCCUUGCUCUUCUGGGUGCCUGCUCAGUUUGUUUGCAUUGAGCUUCGAUCAUACUGACACCUGUUUAAAAUAAGUCAUCAAAUUUUUCACAGUUGGAGUAAUUUUG